UAGUAGUCAUACGCUCGUCUCAAAGAUUAAGCCAUGCAUGUGUAAGUGUAAAUAUACUAGUUUGGAACUGCGAAUGGCUCAUUAUAUCAGUUAUAGUUUAUUUGGUGAAGUGUACUACUUGGAUAACCGUAGUAAUUCUAGGGCUAAUACAUGAGAAAGUCCUCUGGUGAGGUGUGUUUAUUAGAAUGAAAACCAUAUGCUUCGGCAUGAUAGUGAGUAAUAGUAACCUAUCGUAUCGCAUGCUUAAUGUAGCGAUGAGUCUUUCAAGUUUCUGCCCUAUCAGCUUUCGAUGGUAGUAUAUGGGCCUACCAUGGCAGUAACGGGUAACGAAUAA
This 334-nucleotide ribosomal RNA is filed under the name Blastocystis sp. subtype 1. RNAcentral describes it as "SSU rRNA". It matches the Rfam family "Eukaryotic small subunit ribosomal RNA", at positions 18 to 369 of the family's 1831-position model. Lineage: Eukaryota; Bigyra; Opalinata; Blastocystidae. The record is from RNAcentral.